CUACCCUACGGGAGGCAGCAGUGGGGAAUAUUGCACAAUGGGGGAAACCCUGAUGCAGCAACGCCGCGUGAGUGAAGAAGUCAUUCGUGAUGUAAAGCUCUAUCAGCAGGGAAGAAAAUGACGGUACCUGACUAAGAAGCCCCGGCUAACUACGUGCCAGCAGCCGCGGUAAUACGUAGGGGGCAAGCGUUAUCCGGAUUUACUGGGUGUAAAGGGAGCGUAGACGGCUGUGCAAGUCUGAAGUGAAAGCCCGUGGCUCAACCGCGGAACUGCUUUGGAACCUGUCUAGCUUGAGUACUGGAGAG
This 305-nucleotide ribosomal RNA is filed under the name uncultured bacterium. RNAcentral describes it as "bacterial SSU rRNA". It matches the Rfam family "Bacterial small subunit ribosomal RNA", at positions 333 to 656 of the family's 1533-position model. The record is from RNAcentral.